GAGGGAGGAGCCCUGUCACCACUCUGGCCCAGAUGAGGUGUCAACCAUACUAGCUGAGCUGAAGCUGGCUUGAACUAUGCCCUGCUAUCUCCUUGCCCUUCUCCUGGGCACUUUCUUAGCAAAAGGGAGCAGAGAAGCGGAUGGUGACCAAAGACACACCAGAGACGAGGAAAAAGCUGAGGACAUGCGUAUAUUAUGCGCCAUUGGAUCUGCAGAGGAAAAUCUGAGACGGCCACGCAUGGUGAUCCAGACAGUAUUUAGGAAUUCCUGGGGGCUCUCACAGCCUGCUUCUGCAUUAAGCAGCUCUCCCGUGCUGGGAACUCUGAGCCAUCAGAGGGAUCAGAAAGAAAAACGAAGUGCACUCAGGAUGGUGCUGGGUGGAGUCACAGCAUGGCUUAAUCAAGGCACUUGGUUUACUCCCCCCCCCCCCCUUUAUGGAAAUACUCAGUUACUAAGGCAAGCGGUAGUGCCACGACAGUAAAAGUAAA
Molecule: long non-coding RNA, 488 nt
Organism: Canis lupus familiaris (dog)
Lineage: Eukaryota; Metazoa; Chordata; Mammalia; Carnivora; Canidae
Exons: 3
Source: RefSeq, a predicted model, not a curated record